This 495-nucleotide ribosomal RNA is filed under the name uncultured Pseudomonadota bacterium. RNAcentral's name for it is "bacterial SSU rRNA". It matches the Rfam family "Bacterial small subunit ribosomal RNA", at positions 355 to 868 of the family's 1533-position model. Lineage: Bacteria; Pseudomonadati; Pseudomonadota. The record is from RNAcentral.
UGGGGAAUAUUGGACAAUGGGGGAAACCCUGAUCCAGCAAUGCCGCGUGAGUGAAGAAGGCCUUCGGGUUGUAAAACUCUUUUGUUAGGGACGAUGAUGACGGUACCUAACGAAUAAGCCCCGGCUAACUUCGUGCCAGCAGCCGCGGUAAUACGAAGGGGGCUAGCGUUGUUCGGAAUGACUGGGCGUAAAGGGUGUGUAGGCGGUUAUACGCGUCAGAUGUGAAAUCCCCGGGCUUAACCUGGGAAUGGCAUUUGAUACGGUAUAGCUAGAGAUUGGUAGAGGGUAGAGGAAUUGCGAGUGUAGAGGUGAAAUUCGUAGAGAUUCGCAGGAACACCGGUGGCGAAGGCGGCUACCUGGGCCAAUACUGACGCUGAGGCACGAGAGCGUGGGGAGCAAACAGGAUUAGAUACCCUGGUAGUCCACGCCGUAAACGAUGAGUGCUAGAUGUUGCGUGUAAACACAUGCAGUGUCGCAGCUAACGCAUUAAGCACU